UACAUCUCCCAGCCAGUGUAUAUGUUAUUGACAAUGUGAAAAUAUCCAUGCCUGCACCUGCAACAAUGUAAAUAUAUAGAGAUGCUUAGAGCUAUCUGCAGGAUCGUCAUUGUCGGAAUCUGUGACCACAUAAAACUCACCGUCUCGUCCUCCUACAGCAUUUCGCCCGAAUCCAAUUGCACAAUCGGCUAGCAUUUUCCUGUUGGUUUCCCAUUCGGAGUCGCACCUCCAGCAAUCAUCAAUUGGGUUACCAAAUCUGCAUGAUUCUUUCUCCAGCAGACUUCUUCUUGAGCUCCUGUAUAUAAAAACAUUGCAACAAUUAUUCAAAACAUACAGAACUUGAGCUACAAUAUCCUAAUCUCUACUGAAACUGCUUGAAUUAUUCUCACCACUCAGUUGCUUCUGAUAUUUGUUUUGUUAGAUGUUUAGAAUAUAUGGAAGUGACUAGCGAGAUCAUGGCAAGAGAGAGGAGAAAGAAGGUUGACAUAUUUUUUGGAGGCAAAUGUGCUUAACUACAACAUUGAUUGGGUAGCUUUAAGCUAACUUAGACUAUGAUGGUGGUUCAGAGAUUUGAGCUUAUAUAGUGUUUAUAGGUUCCCAUGGGAACAACUUGCACACUUGCAUAAACUUUAUCAUAACUCAAUACAUAACCAUUAACUAAGUUACAAUUAUUAAUUUUCUGCACAUGAAUGGGAAAUUUUCAUUCUAUUUUAGUUUUUAAGUAGGAUAAUGAAUCUAAUCAUGUGGGUAAUGUAUAGGUGGUAUACAAAUCAUUGCAAGAUUGAGAUUGUAGGAAUUAAAUGACACCGAAAAAGCUGGUUUUUGGUCAUUGCAAAUUGAAUGAAAAAUAAAUUGAAGAGAUGGGAGAUUCAGAAAGUGACAAGCUUGAAGUCGCAAGAACCGCUUAUUUAGAGAUGCAGGAGCAGUAAUAAAUUGAGCAGGUUUUGCUGUAGCUCUUCAUUGAAUGACGGGACAGCAGGUAUUACGGACCGAACAGGUAGCUAUGUUGGUAGGUCUGUAAUUGGUUCAUUCCGAAUUUGUACCCAACAAUGCUGUGGUUUGCAUAAUUGGCUGACAAUGGGACUCCCUAAUUAGCUCUUUCA
Long non-coding RNA from Ricinus communis (castor bean), 1103 nucleotides. RefSeq lists it as uncharacterized. Lineage: Eukaryota; Viridiplantae; Streptophyta; Magnoliopsida; Malpighiales; Euphorbiaceae. The transcript has 2 exons. The record is from RefSeq and is a predicted model, not a curated record.